Molecule: ribosomal RNA, 375 nt
Filed under: Triticum aestivum (bread wheat)
Lineage: Eukaryota; Viridiplantae; Streptophyta; Magnoliopsida; Poales; Poaceae
Description: partial small subunit ribosomal RNA
Source: RNAcentral
GUGAUUGAUGAGCUAUUGGAUGAACUCCAUGGUGCACAAUGGUUUACGAAACUGGAUCUCAGGGCUGGAUACCACCAAAUAAGAUUAGCCCCUGGAGAAGAGUAUAAAACAGCCUUCCAAACGCACCAUGGGCAUUUUGAGUUCCUAGUUGUGGGUUUUGGCCUGACAGGAGCUCCAAAUACUUUUCAAGGGGCCAUCCAUGUAUCCUUGUCUGAAGAACCUGACAUGCUUAGAAAUUUUGUGAUUGCAUUCUUUGAUGACAUCCUAGUUUUCAGUAAAACACUGAAACAGCAUCUAGAGCAUGUCAGAAGAGUAUUGCAAGUUUUGAGAAGGGACAAAUGGUAUGUAAAGCUUUCCAAGUGUGAAUUUGCUUCU